GAAGUGUCAUCCCCGAAGAGCAGCCACCAUGUCCCCACGACGAUGGGCUGUCACUCUGCUCUGGGUGUGUACCUGUGCCAUUCUCCAGCUGCACUGUGUGACUGCAGAGGAGAGAUGUGUUUUCCCAUUCAAAUAUGGAAACAAAAAGCAUUUUGAUUGCAUAAGGGACAAUUCCCUGUACCACUGGUGCUCUCUCACUCCAAUUUACUCGGGCAAGUGGAAGUACUGUACCACUGAUGAUUACCGCCAGUGUGAGUUUCCCUUUAACUACAAGGGCCAAACUUUCAAUGAAUGCACACUCAAGGACAGUAUUAUCUUCAAGUAUUGGUGCUCAUUGACUCGAAACUACCAUGAAGAUCAAGCUUGGAAGUAUUGCUAUUGAGGUGACUUCCGGGGAACAUGGGUGGAAGUCAUCAAUGCCGACAUUGGACCAUGUUUCAUCCCUACAUGGCACACCUGCCACGGCCAUGGUUGAAGUCGGCAGUCUGACCUGCCCCCCCGUGUGGGUAAUCCAGCACCUCCAGCGUGGGGGUGAGGUCCUCUCCCUCAGCUCCUCCAUGUUCCUGCUGUGCCUCAGGCUGGCCA
Molecule: long non-coding RNA, 585 nt
Organism: Ochotona princeps (American pika)
Lineage: Eukaryota; Metazoa; Chordata; Mammalia; Lagomorpha; Ochotonidae
Exons: 4
Source: RefSeq, a predicted model, not a curated record